Long non-coding RNA from Empidonax traillii (willow flycatcher), 1323 nucleotides. RefSeq lists it as uncharacterized. NCBI's taxonomy places the organism in Eukaryota, Metazoa, Chordata, Aves, Passeriformes, Tyrannidae. The record is from RefSeq and is a predicted model, not a curated record. The transcript has 3 exons.
CCUCUUCAUAAUAACCAUUAGCCAAAGAGGCUCAGCUGUUACAGGUACAAAGAAUCUCAGAUGGUUAAACUGCCUACAUUUCUCUCUGAAGUUAACAGUAGAAUAGCCAAGUAGAAUUCAUUCCCCAGAUGUUACAAGUGCUCUGAAAUAUGUUUGAAACUAUCUAAAUACUUUACACUUCUUAUAAAUUCAUAUCUUGAUCCCAGAAGAGGAUCCAGUGUGCUCACCAUGGACUAAUAAACAUUUAGAAAAGUUAAAUUACUUAGAGAUAUUUAAGUAUCACACAAAUAUGUGUAAAGUGUAGACACUCUCCAGCAUAAAACCAAACCUGCAAAGAUCUUUGUCUAUUUAAUUGCAUUUUGGUUCACCCAUUUAAUAAAGAGGAUUAUUUUUUAACCUCUCCAGUUCCAAACAGAAUUUCAGAUUCUAUUACAACAGAGUGGAAGAAGAGAAAUCUUAAACCAAGGGCAUUUAGUCACCUGCAGAGUGAGAGAGAUUGAAAAGGAAAAUGGAUUUACUGCCUUCCACAUCAGUUUGCAGGCAAUUUGUGUUUGAAUUCCUCUUAAGACAAUUUCUGCAUAAUAUUAGUGAUUUGAAAUGAUGCAAAAUGGUAUUGGAACACAGCCUCCUUUUGCAGCGCAGAGAAAUUCUCUCCUUGAGUCCUUGUUAUUCUUCUAGUCAUCUGUUUUCCUUUCAUUUAUUCUUUCAUGAUGUGCCGUGCCUUCUGACGAGUGAAACGUGAACAGGAAGUGGGAAGGAGCAAGCUUUGUCUCUGCUGCCAGUGUGCUUCAUGCAUUUGUGAAGAAGCAGACCUGCAUCAUAAAACCAACCGAAAGCCACAGAGUUACCUCUCUAAAAAAUGUAAUGGACUGUACUGAAAGCCUAACUUUGACUGAUGUGAGGUUUGGGACUUUAUCCAGGUCCUUUUCAAGACACUGAGAUAUCAAGGCUCAGAUUUUCAGAGGUCUUGACUUCAGCAAGAGCUGCACUUCUCUUUACAACAGACUAAUUGAAGGGAAAAAAAUCCAAACCUGUAGGAUGUGGGAGUCAGAUCUUACUAUGGAAAAAGGAAGAGACAUUGAUUCCCCCUCUCCAUUGGCCACAAAGCCUAUUCUGGAUAGAGGAAUUGAGAUGUUGUUGAGCUUUCAUUUUAACAGAUGUGAGAGCAUCAAAAGGUAUUAUUUUCAGUAAUUCUCUAGGUGAGAUGGACCAGUUUGAAAAUGCUGGGAGCUCUACAAGACUUUACUGCAUCCAGGACAAACAGCAAUGGAACAUUGCUCUGGAAGAAUGCAGGGAGUUGAACUGGAGGUCAGUUGUUUUGGU